CCUACGGGUGGCAGCAGUGAGGAAUAUUGGUCAAUGGUCGGGAGACUGAACCAGCCAAGCCGCGUGAGGGACGAAGGUACCGAGCAUUGUAAACUUCUUUUGUCAGGGAACAAAGUCUGGCACGCGUCCCUGGCCGAGUGUACUUGAAGAAAAAGCAUCGGCUAACUCCGUGCCAGCAGCCGCGGUAAUACGGAGGAUGCGAGCGUUAUCCGGAUUUAUUGGGUUUAAAGGGUGCGUAGGCGGACUGUUAAGUCAGCGGUAAAAGCCCGGGGCUCAACCCCGGUGCGCCGUUGAAACUGGCAGUCUCGAGUUGGAGAGAGGUAUGCGGAAUGCGCGGUGUAGCGGUGAAAUGCUUAGAUAUCGCGCAGAACUCCGAUUGCGAAGGCAGCAUACCGGCGGCGAUCUGACGCUGAGGCACGAAAGCGUGGGUAUCGAACAGGAUUAGAUACCCUAGUAGUC
Molecule: ribosomal RNA, 459 nt
Filed under: uncultured bacterium
Lineage: Bacteria
Description: partial 16S ribosomal RNA
Rfam family: Bacterial small subunit ribosomal RNA
Source: RNAcentral